This 484-nucleotide ribosomal RNA is filed under the name uncultured bacterium. RNAcentral's name for it is "SSU rRNA". It matches the Rfam family "Bacterial small subunit ribosomal RNA", at positions 26 to 517 of the family's 1533-position model. The record is from RNAcentral.
AGGAUUAACGCUGGCGGCGUGCAUGAAACAUGCAAGUCGAGCGCGGUGUGAUGCGGGGUAACCCAAUUCACAUCUAGCGGCGAACGGGUGAGUAACACGUGAGCAACCUACCUUUGAGUUGGGGAUAGCCCUGGGAAACCAGGAUUAAUACCCGAUGUGGUCACAACAGGACAUCCUGAUGUGAGUAAAGGCGUAAGCCGCUCAAUGACGGGCUCGCGGCCUAUUAGCUUGUUGGUGGGGUAACGGCCUACCAAGGCGAUGAUGGGUAGCUGGUCUGAGAGGACGAUCAGCCACACUGGGACUGAGACACGGCCCAGACUCCUACGGGAGGCAGCAGUGGGGAAUCUUGCGCAAUGGGCGAAAGCCUGACGCAGCAACGCCGCGUGUGGGACGAAGGCCUUCGUGGGUUGUAAACCACUUUCAGCAGGGACGAUUGUGACGGUACCUGCAGAAGAAGCCCCGGCCAACUACGUGCCAGCAGCCG